GGUACAGUAGCCUAGUGGUAAACGUCCGAGUAGGUAGAUAAAAGAUUUCCUUCAUUCAUGCAUCGAGGUCCCCAGUUCGAAUCUGGGCUGCACCA
Molecule: non-coding RNA, 95 nt
Organism: Marasmius sp. AFHP31
Lineage: Eukaryota; Fungi; Basidiomycota; Agaricomycetes; Agaricales; Marasmiaceae
Source: the annotation of a GenBank genome assembly